RNAcentral lists this ribosomal RNA (374 nucleotides) under uncultured organism. RNAcentral's name for it is "partial 16S ribosomal RNA". It matches the Rfam family "Bacterial small subunit ribosomal RNA", at positions 527 to 896 of the family's 1533-position model. The record is from RNAcentral.
GUAGGGUGCGAGCGUUAAUCGGGAAUUACUGGGGCGUAAAGCGUGCGCAGGCGGUUGUGGCAAGACAGAUGUGAAAUCCCCGGGGCUCAACCUGGGAAUUGCAUUUGUGACUGUACGGCUAGAGUGUGUCAGAGGGGGGGUAGAAUUCCACGUGUAGCAGUGAAAUGCGUAGAGAUGUGGAGGAAUACCGAUGGCGAAGGCAGCCCCCUGGGAUAACACUGACGCUCAUGCACGAAAGCGUGGGGAGCAAACAGGAUUAGAUACCCUGGUAGUCCACGCCCUAAACGAUGUCAACUAGUUGUCGGGUCUUAAUUGACUUGGUAACGCAGCUAACGCGUGAAGUUGACCGCCUGGGGAGUACGGUCGCAAGAUUA